CAAAAGGCCCUUUUAAGGGCCAAACAAAUCU
Ixodes scapularis (black-legged tick) is the source of this 31-nucleotide non-coding RNA. NCBI's taxonomy places the organism in Eukaryota, Metazoa, Arthropoda, Arachnida, Ixodida, Ixodidae. The record is from Rfam.